GACUGUAUGAAACUCUCCGUGAUAUUAACUGCACCGUAAGUUGCUGGAUGCGGACCUCCCAACGACCAAUCCACCCAUGUCAAGGUCCUGUUAGCACUCAGCGAUCCAUGGAACAUGUGGAUGAAAGUUGGAAGGAAAUGCUCGUCCGGGUAGCAAGCUGGCGUGCAAUGCUUCUUGAAUAGAGUAUAGUACUUAGUGUCCGACACUAUGUAAGAAGCUAAGGCUCGCUGCAUC
Molecule: long non-coding RNA, 234 nt
Filed under: Linum usitatissimum (flax)
Lineage: Eukaryota; Viridiplantae; Streptophyta; Magnoliopsida; Malpighiales; Linaceae
Description: long non-coding RNA (LUSI_LNC000433)
Source: RNAcentral